Molecule: long non-coding RNA, 2268 nt
Organism: Equus caballus (horse)
Lineage: Eukaryota; Metazoa; Chordata; Mammalia; Perissodactyla; Equidae
Source: Ensembl
GUAACUGCUGAGGAAUGGCUGCCAAAACCUUAUGUGGGAAAACAGAGUUUUCCAGAAUUGAUAUUUCUAGGAAUGAUUGAAGAAAAAAAAAUAGAUGCAGCUCAACUUGGCAAGGUUAACAGCACAGGCGGCAGCCUCUUGGGCUUAGCUGCCAGCAUGACCUCAAAUGAACCAGCUUUGCCUGACAGGACACCUGACAGGAAUGCAGGGUGUGGAGUGGCCCGCAGGCUGUGGGGAUGACAUGGAAGAAACUGAAAGCUGGAGAACUGCUGGGCAGAGAUGUAGAGGAUGUCUCUAGUGGUCUCCAAGUCAGCACUAGCCAGAGAUGACGGCUAUGGACAUCAGAUUGUCUCCAAGAGAAGUGAAUCUUCCUCCUGGAUUUUCUGGAAACUGGUCUGUAACAGAGCUUCUGAAGUGAUAUCUUAGAUUGUUGAUUUGAGAUCAUUCCUCUUUUCUAAUUUUGAGAGGAGUAUUGUAUCCUGACGAAGAACGUGGACUGUAGAAUCUGAGGCCUGAGUUGGGAUCUGAACUCCAUCCCUUAUGGAGCUGCAGGACCUUGGACCUUGCAGCCUCCACUUAGACCUUUUAGGAAUGCUGUGCUGAGAUCAUCUUGUGAGGAAGCUGGUCUAGCCUACUGGAGGAUGAGCAAAGUUGCAUAGAAGAUCCCGGCAUCCAGACGGAUGGCACCAACUCCAGAUGCAUGUCACACCAUCCCUGCAUCUCUGGAAUGAAUCCCACCUGAUCAAGGGUAAUGAAGGCUUCAUAGAAGGAGUUAGGAAGACUCCCCUCCUCUUCAAUUUUUUGGAAGACUUUGAGAAGGAGAACCUCUUUGUGAGAAGGCUGGUCCAUACCAAGGUUCUAAUCUGCAAUUAUCUAGAAGAACAAAGCCUGUCCAGAAGAUAUUGAACUUACAACAGUUGUCUACAAUCAUAUUUUUCUAAAUGAAGAUUUGCCAACUUUCAGCAAACAGAAGUAGGAUGAGCAGGAAGAUACACACGAAGGAAAUUUAUGUGGACCAGUUCUGUAGUAGUGCUUGUCCCUCUCGCGACAUUCAUAUUAGCACAUUUAACUGUUAAGGAGGCUGGGAAAAGUCAUCUAGCUGUGCGCUCAGGAGGAAGAGAAAAUGGUUUGGAAGAACAGCACUAGGAGCCUGCUAUGGUGCCUUCAACAAAUGGGAGUUUGUUUUUCUUCUGUUCAAGACGUCUCAAGAGAAAACUGAAGAAAAAAACCCGAACAAACCUGAAAGAAGACCAUAGAAAAGGAGUCACCCAAAAGAGUGAAAAAAUAUAUUUAGUAAAGGACUCAAAACUUUUAGAAGGCAGGGACUGCAUCUUUUUUUGGGGGGGGUGGGGGUGAAUAUGGUUUAGAAACCAGUGAAAUGAAAAGCUAACUUACUUUUUGGCUGAAAUUGAUUGAUUGUGCAAAUACUGAUUAUUACAAUGCCUGGAAAAAUUCGUCUAGUCAAAAAUAGCAAUUGCCAUGACUACAUGUCCAUGAGUCUCUCUCUUUUUUACUUGCUUUGUCUGCUGGUUGAAACAGGGAGGGCCAGGCACGUGAGAGGUACACGCUAUGUGCCACUGCUUCUGACGCUGCCAUGGUUAACACGACGGGGUCAAAGCCACUUCACAGUUUUGCUUCAGAAGCCACAAAAGACUUCCUGUGAUGUCAGGCAGCCUGCAGUAACCCAAAUGGUCGCCCCAAAAGGCACAUCCCUGACAAAGAGUCUUUGACAGACUUAGUUACUUUCAGUGCCAGUCACUGCCUUGCUGGAAGUCUGUCUGGAUGUCCCUUCUGCAAAGCAACUAAGUCCCUCCAGCAUCAAAGUGAGAAUAAAAAUAUCUUGACAAGCUCAUCUCUCUUUUUGAAUCCCUUGGACACUUGGGCACUGGUGUGCUCUGAAUCCAGGAUCGUGCUGGGAGAGCAGUAAGCUGAUGGCUGUGGAAUGUGCCCUUGGAAAUGGAAUGGCCUGGAGGGCAACGUGAUGCCACAGACCUGCUAUUUUGACCCUUUUCUCCAGCUUACUGAGAAAAUUAUCUGUAUGAAAAAAUGGUACCUCCAUUAACACCGCUGACAACAACGCCUGACAACUGGGAGGGAUACCUCCCUCCCUCUCAUUCUCCAUAUUUACUCAGUUACCGAGGCCUGUGGAUUUUUCCUUCCCAAGCAUCUUUCUAAUCUGUUCCUUUUUUCCAUUCCUGCUGCCAUAAUCUUGGUCCAAUCUAACAUCAUCUCUCAGCUAGACCAGUACAAUAACUUCAUUUCUGACCC